GGACACGCUGGGAACAGUCCGGAUAGUUACUCCACUCGACUGUAAAUCUGCCCGGGUUUCCCGUACGCUGGUUCGAAUCCAGCCCUGUCCACCA
RNAcentral lists this transfer RNA (94 nucleotides) under Sphingobium phenoxybenzoativorans. RNAcentral's name for it is "tRNA-Tyr". Lineage: Bacteria; Pseudomonadati; Pseudomonadota; Alphaproteobacteria; Sphingomonadales; Sphingobiaceae. The record is from RNAcentral.